Molecule: ribosomal RNA, 436 nt
Filed under: Vibrio parahaemolyticus
Lineage: Bacteria; Pseudomonadati; Pseudomonadota; Gammaproteobacteria; Vibrionales; Vibrionaceae
Description: partial 23S ribosomal RNA
Rfam family: Bacterial large subunit ribosomal RNA
Source: RNAcentral
GUGAGGGGAGUGAAAUAGAACCUGAAACCGUGUACGUACAAGCAGUAGGAGCAGGCUUUGUCCUGUGACUGCGUACCUUUUGUAUAAUGGGUCAGCGACUUAUAUUCAGUGGCAAGGUUAACCAUCUAGGGGAGCCGUAGGGAAACCGAGUCUUAACUGGGCGUUCAGUCUCUGGAUAUAGACCCGAAACCAGGUGAUCUAGCCAUGGGCAGGUUGAAGGUUGAGUAACAUCAACUGGAGGACCGAACCGACUAAUGUUGAAAAAUUAGCGGAUGACUUGUGGCUAGGGGUGAAAGGCCAAUCAAACCUGGAGAUAGCUGGUUCUCCCCGAAAGCUAUUUAGGUAGCGCCUCGGACGAAUACUACUGGGGGUAGAGCACUGUUAAGGCUAGGGGGUCAUCCCGACUUACCAACCCUUUGCAAACUCCGAAUACCAG